UUACGGCCAUAUCACAUUCAAACACCAGUUCCCUUACGCUCACCAAAGUUAAGCAACGUCGAACGUGGUCAGUAUCCAAAUGGGUGACCGCCUGAGAAUACUAGGUGCUGUAAG
Acanthosepion pharaonis is the source of this 114-nucleotide non-coding RNA. NCBI's taxonomy places the organism in Eukaryota, Metazoa, Mollusca, Cephalopoda, Sepiida, Sepiidae. The record is from the annotation of a GenBank genome assembly.